RNAcentral lists this small RNA (137 nucleotides) under Caldibacillus thermoamylovorans. RNAcentral describes it as "Bacillus thermoamylovorans Listeria sRNA rli38". It matches the Rfam family "Listeria sRNA rli38". Lineage: Bacteria; Bacillati; Bacillota; Bacilli; Caryophanales; Bacillaceae. The record is from Rfam by way of RNAcentral.
AUUGAGUGGGAAUAAGAGGCUAACUUGAUUUGAAGAGGGAACACCUAUUUAUAAUGGCUUUUCCUAAUCUAAUAUGGAUAAAAUGAUUUAAAAAAGAUAGUUCCCUGCCAAAAAUAAAAUUUGGCAGGGAAUUUUUC